RNAcentral lists this transfer RNA (72 nucleotides) under Candidatus Azambacteria bacterium. Its description in RNAcentral is "tRNA-Thr". It matches the Rfam family "tRNA". From Rfam's summary of the family: Transfer RNA (tRNA) molecules are approximately 80 nucleotides in length. The record is from RNAcentral. Lineage: Bacteria; Candidatus Azamiibacteriota.
GCCGAGCUAGCUCAGUGGUAGAGCAACUGUUUUGUAAACAGUAGGUCGUCGGUCCGAUCCCGACUCUCGGCU